Non-coding RNA from Ochotona princeps (American pika), 924 nucleotides. NCBI's taxonomy places the organism in Eukaryota, Metazoa, Chordata, Mammalia, Lagomorpha, Ochotonidae. The record is from the annotation of a RefSeq genome assembly.
AGCAGAAGCAGACGCCUGGGCAGUUUAAGAAACCUCUGCGCUUUGAAAAGAAGGAGGGGACAACUCCUGAGAGUCCUAGCUCGCCUGUCUGCAGGUGCCGCUGGGCAGAUCCAUGAGGACGCUUGCUGGACGUUUGCUUCUGUUCCUGUGGCUGCAGCUGCACUGUGUGAGUGGAGGAGAGCAGGUGGAGCAGAGUCCUGCUUUCCUGAGUGUUCAGGAGGGAGACGACUGUGUCAUCAACUGCACUUACACAGACAGUACCACCACCUACUUACACUGGUAUAAGCAGGAACCUGGAGAAGGUCCCCAGUUCCUUGUAAGUAUUAUUUCUGCUCAGGACAAGAAAGAAGACCAAAGAUUCACUGUCCUGAUGAACAAGAAGGACAAGCAUGGCUCCCUGCACAUCUCAGCUGCCCAUCCUGUAGACUCAGCCACCUACUUCUGUGCAGCAAGUGCACAGUGUUCCCCCUGCACCUGCAGCCUGUACCCAAACCUGCAGUGGGGCUGAAGACAGGCUCAUCUCUGCUUGUGCUUUGAGUUAUGGAUUGUUCUAUGUUUGAUUGCUAAUAUGUGGACAUGCUAAGCCAUCUUUUAUGAAAGUCAGCUUGUAAAUGCGUCAUCAAUUGUUAGAACAUUGUGAAUGAACACCCCCCUUUUUUGGGAGUUAGUAAUCUUUGGUUAGAGCAAAAGGCUUCAGGGUUGAACUUACUGUUGCAAUUCAGAAUUGUCCUUUCCUGGGGACAUCCUAAGGUCCAUUUCAGAGACAUUCUUCUUAGUGGUGAGCUGUCUUUUCAUAAUACUACUUAUGGAAUUCUUCUGAUUAUGGAAUUAUUAACUGCACCAUAUGUGAAAUCAGCGAAAUGUAACAAAUUAAAUUGUCUUGUAAUCUUUCAUACAAAGAAAUCUUGACUAAUAUUUAGUAGU